This 458-nucleotide ribosomal RNA is filed under the name uncultured Anoxybacillus sp. RNAcentral describes it as "bacterial SSU rRNA". It matches the Rfam family "Bacterial small subunit ribosomal RNA", at positions 925 to 1382 of the family's 1533-position model. Lineage: Bacteria; Bacillati; Bacillota; Bacilli; Caryophanales; Anoxybacillaceae. The record is from RNAcentral.
ACAAGCGGUGGAGCAUGUGGUUAAUUCGAAGCAACGCGAAGAACCUUACCAGGUCUUGACAUCCCCUGACAACCCGAGAGAUCGGGCGUUCCCCUUCGGGGGGACAGGGUGACAGGUGGUGCAUGGUUGUCGCCAGCUCGUGUCGUGAGAUGUUGGGUUAAGUCCCGCAACGAGCGCAACCCUCGACCUUAGUUGCCAGCAUUCAGUUGGGCACUCUAAGGUGACUGCCGGCUAAAAGUCGGAGGAAGGUGGGGAUGACGUCAAAUCAUCAUGCCCCUUAUGACCUGGGCUACACACGUGCUACAAUGGGCGGUACAAGGGGUCGCGAACCCGCGAGGGGGAGCCAAUCCCAAAAAGCCGCUCUCAGUUCGGAUUGCAGGCUGCAACUCGCCUGCAUGAAGCCGGAAUCGCUAGUAAUCGCGGAUCAGCAUGCCGCGGUGAAUACGUUCCCGGGCCUU